Priapulus caudatus is the source of this 194-nucleotide long non-coding RNA. RefSeq lists it as uncharacterized. The transcript has 4 exons. The record is from RefSeq and is a predicted model, not a curated record. Lineage: Eukaryota; Metazoa; Priapulida; Priapulimorpha; Priapulimorphida; Priapulidae.
CAUAGCAGAUCUAGAGGUAACAUCAGGAGUGACAUAGCAGAUCUAGAGGUAACAUCAGGAGUGACAUAGCAGAUCUAGAGGUAACAUCAGGAGUGACAUAGCAGAUCUAGAGGUAACAUCAGGAGUGACAUAGCAGAUCUAGAGGUAACACAGAGUGACAUAGCAGAUCUAGAGGUAACAUCAGGAGUGACAUA